GAAGACCAAGGGUUCCUGUCCAACGUUAAUCGGGGCAGGGUAAGUCGACCCCUAAGGCGAGGCCGAAAGGCGUAGUCGAUGGGAAACGGGUUAAUAUUCCCGUACUUCUUACAAUUGCGAUGGGGGGGACGGAGAAGGCUAGGUGGGCCUGGCGACGGUUGUCCAGGUUCAAGUGCGUAGGCUUAAGAGUUAGGUAAAUCCGGCUCUUUUUAAGGCUGAGACACGACGUCGAGCAUCUACGGAUGUGAAGUCAUUGAUGCCAUGCUUCCAGGAAAAGCCUCUAAGCUUCAGAUUGUAAGGAAUCGUACCCCAAACCGACACAGGUGGUCGGGUAGAGAAUACCAAGGCGCUUGAGAGAACUCGGGUGAAG
This 370-nucleotide ribosomal RNA is filed under the name Vibrio parahaemolyticus. RNAcentral's name for it is "partial 23S ribosomal RNA". It matches the Rfam family "Bacterial large subunit ribosomal RNA", at positions 1340 to 1709 of the family's 2925-position model. Lineage: Bacteria; Pseudomonadati; Pseudomonadota; Gammaproteobacteria; Vibrionales; Vibrionaceae. The record is from RNAcentral.